RNAcentral lists this non-coding RNA (59 nucleotides) under unclassified sequences. The record is from RNAcentral.
UACCUAAACUAGCCACACCACAGUGACAGUCCUAAGCCUGUAUAAAUAGUGAAGGGGUA